GUGCUUGGUUUGACAGUUUAGUACUUAAAAUCAGGACAGUACAGGAAAGAUUAGUGUGGUUCCUGCUUAUGGAUGACAUAAAAAUUUGUGAUGCCUUCCAUAUUAAA
RNAcentral lists this small nuclear RNA (107 nucleotides) under Mus pahari (shrew mouse). Lineage: Eukaryota; Metazoa; Chordata; Mammalia; Rodentia; Muridae. The record is from RNAcentral.